UUCCCCUUCCCCUUCCCCUUCCCCUUCCUUUCCCCUUUCCCAAAACUGACUAAUUUUAACAAAGAAGUGCUAGAAGGAGACAUUCAGGCUCUCAGAAGCUUUUGACUGAAUUAUCCCAAACUUCAAAAAAACUUCAUCUUGUCUCCUUUCAGCAGUAACUGAGAGGUGAGCUACUGCUCAGAAAACUCAGUUGAAUUAUAAAGCAUUAUAAAGCAAAUGGCAAAGGAGGAAGCAAUAAAGCAGGGCAUCCUGCUUCCUUGGCGUUAUAUAAAAGAUGUUAUUUGUUUCAAGAUGCAGAGCAGAUGAAGGCACAGUGGAUGAGCUCAGUUCAUCCAGCAAAAGAGCAUGUCUUCACCUGCACUUUACUUUCCCAGACAGUAGGAUUUUGCAUGAAAAAUACAUGUAGGAAAUUGUAAAUAAAUGAAUGUAUGUCCCUUUUCUGCCCCUGCUGUCUUUAAAGAAAAGAACCUCAAAAUUACAUUUUUAAGACUAACUUGAUUUUAGGCACAAAAGAAGUAGAAAAGAUUACCUGCAUCUUAGUGAUUAUGCUUUUUAAUCCCAUAAUAGAUUAGGUCACACAUAGUGUAGCAUUAACUGCAACAAAAAAUUCUGAUUGCAGGGUAUGACUUUAUGUUUAAAUGAAUGAUGGAACUUUUGGAGGGAAAGAGAAAAGAGAGAGAUUUGUAUAUAUUAGUAUUGGGAGUGGAUCUGCUUUCAAAAUGACAGGCUUUUCCAUUCACAUUUAAAGAAAAUAAGGUUGAUAUAUGAACCCUUCAAAAUUCCUAAAGUUGUAAACUCUAGCCUUUUCAUUAACAAAAUCAAAAUCCAGUGUCCCAAAAAUAAAGCAUCACAGUAACAUGUUUAUAACAGAUAUUGUAUUGCAUACAGGAAGUAUAUAAAAAGAUAGGUUCAUUUAAAACAAGCUUAAUUUCAAAGCAAAUAUUUUGCAGUUGCAAACCUCUCAAAAAUUUGCUUUCUAAUGGAAAUAUGGACUCAUUUUUAUACGGAAAGCAUUUAAAAUCACCGCUAAAACGAAAUAAGAUGUACUUUGCAAUUACCCUUUGUUUCUGGAGGCUGUUGUGGUUUGAAAAUUUAUGGUGUCAUCAGUGGGGAAGGACAAUGCCUGGUGCAUUGAUGGGCAUCUUGUUCUUCCUUGACCGAGAUUCAGCAGGGGAGGGUGUGCAAGGGGGAGGGUAAAGCUGCUUCACGUGGUUGCCCUCGACCCCUUAGUGCUCCCUACAAUACUGCUGUUAACAAAUGCUCCAAAUAAAAGUAUUUAAGGCAGCUCUCUGCACUGCCCCAGCUUGCUGAGUUGCACAGCACAUACCAUAAGCAAGAGAACAAGGUAUUUCUAAGCUCCAGGAGUACUUCUGAGUGCACUCCACACAGCAGGGUAAUAGUGGUCAGUGAUGCCUUCAGCUCAAAUAAAAAGGUGGUACCAGUUAUAAAUACUUAAAUCCAAGGGAUUCCAUAUUCUGUGUUGUUGGUGUCGAUUUUUUUUGCCUUUCCUUUUCUUUUUUUGUGUUUUGUUUGUUUAUUUGUUUGUUUUUGGGGUUUUGUUUGUGUUUUGUUGUUGUUUUUAUUUGUUUGUUUGUUUGUUUGUUUGUUUUUUAAUGACUUCCAAUAUUACCAAGCACAGCAAAAUGGCAGGAUAUUUGGAAACUGUGACACAGCCUUAAACACACUCAUCACUGCUUGUUUGUGAAUUCCCACCAGACCUGUCUUCUCUCUGGGCAAUCCGCAGAGAAGAUGCCUGAGGUCACUAGUGCCUUCAAACCCUGUGGGGACAGAAGGGUUCUUUGUGGAUCUUUGGCAGAAUAAUGGUGGCACGGAACUGUAGUUGUGGUUAAAACUUUAUUUUCUUAACAGAUUGUUAUUAGUAGUACAGCACAGAAUUUAUUAUUAGAAUGGCACAGAGUUUCUACAAGCAGAAUCAAUGUAGCAAGACUUACAAGUAACAAAAUAUAGAGUUUAUAAUAAAACUGAUCUUACGUGCAGAGCUCUGUGCUUCUCCACUUCCCUCCCCUGUGCUGGUGCCAUCACCACCACCGGGCCAGACAGUACUUGAGACCUUCCAGGAGAGGAAGAAGAAAUCUGUGUGGUUUAUUUACUUCGUGCACAGGCCCUUCAGGGCCUGACAAUGAGGUGAUGUGAAUUAAUCCAUGACUUGCUCGGUCACAGAGAAUGGCCAUUUGCCUCAUGAGGUGGGAUUAAUUGUGCCAACCACAUUACCAGGGUUGGGAGCAGGGGUACCAGUCACAACUAGCUGCCAGAGCUGGUCCUUCAACUCAUGCAGCUGAGGUCAGCUUGGAAACUGAGGUCCCAGAGACUCCCUAUGUGUCCUUCUUUGUCAUCCAAUCCUACCUGGAGCUCCUAUCAGAACUAGGCUGUACAGACAUUAAAUACCGUGCAUGUUUUCCUUCAAGGAACAUAAAGGACUCAUCUAUACUUUUCAUCCUCAAAACCAAGCAGAAACAUCAGGUGCAUGCUGCUCUGGGCUCCAAUGACCAAACACCAUCAGCUGGUCCAGUUUUAUCCCCAUUGCAUCUUCCCUCUCUUCAGGAAGAUUAUGAAACCACAGCAACUCCUCAUCAACAGCAUCUCCUGCUCAUUUCUGCAGCUUCUGGCACACAGGGCAGGACCUUGGGAAGGAGCUCCAGACCAGAGCUUGGAAUUUCCCACCUGAAUUUGGGUAGCCAGCUUAACUGAACCUGAAAGACUGAGACUGGAUACUGAGAGAGUUUAGCUUCAAGAAAGAAAUGACAGGAUUGUCUCAAGGCACAGUGAACUCUUGAAUUGACAUUCCUGAAAGUUCCAAUAAUUUCUUGCUUUAUUAAUGUCCUUACCUGAAAACAAGCUUGCACACAGUGCCUGACCUUACAUUUCACCGCUUCGUAAGGUCCACAAUAUCGACAAUAGAAAGGAACAAAUGGAGCAGCAAACUUCGAUUGGUUUUCGAUCUGUCUUCAGAAGGCAUCUGAAUGCUGGUUUCCUGUUUUGACUGAGUAUGUUCUUUGAUUGUAUAAUAAAGGCAAAAUGUGACCAUCUUUUGGCUUGUACAGAUAAAAAAUCACAAUUAUUAGGACUAGAGAAGAUCUCAAAUAUCUCUUCCGAUAUCUGAAAUAUAUGUCCUGUACAAAGAAUGGAAAAAUAUGGAUGUUUCUUCUUCUUCAUUUGCUGACUAUAAUUUCCCUUAAAGAAAAGAGCUUCUUUGCAAGAAUUGGCAGAAUCAGCUUCACAACUAACUACACUGCUGGAAAUUCAAACUCCUGGCUCCAGUGUUUUGGGGAUUUAUGUCUGAAUAUUGAGUGCAGGUCUAAUAAUGGUGCUAACUGAGGACAUUUUGCUGCUGGUCAUGAUUGUGCGCACCUUCCCCACACAUAAAUUGAUGAUCCAGGUACAUGGGAUUUAUGAUGAAAUGCAGUCUUCAUUUGCCUCUCUGGUUUUAGUGCUGGCACCUGAAAUUAUUUGAGGCAUAAGUUAAAACAGACUGUGCCAGACAAUGGGUGUCAAAAUUUCACCAUGAGAUGUUUGAAAUACAGAUUUCAUCUUUCUGUUCAUCCAUGCAUGCACCCAAAAUGGCAAAGCAGAAAACAUCACUGGGGAGAAAACCAGAAAUUGUGGUGUUGGAGAAGCUCACAGAGGAAGGCAUGUUGCCUCUUAGAGUCCUUCAAACCCUAAGCAAUUGUCUACCACAUACUUGAACAAGAGUAUAGACGAAAAGAAGAAUGGCUCGGAAGGAGGAUCAAACCUUUAUCACAAUCUGACCCUUCCUCAUCUGAAUGUAUUUCUUCAAAUCUCCACUUGAGGCCUUUCCUUUUAUAUAAACUCUAUACUAUAACCUAAAGGAAAAACUGAUAGUACCCAAGCUUAGGAUACAGCAACAUGCCCAGAAGAGCUUGUUCUGGAAAAACAGCCACAUGCCUCUUGAUGUUAGUUAUAAUAUAGAAUUCAACAGACAACCAACCACUAUUGGAUCCUCCAACCAGAGAGUACAUCUAGUUUUGGGAGGAUGUCAGCCUACACCCAAAGGGAGACUCCUGAUCACUAGGAAUGAUGGGUGAAACACCUUUUCCUCCAAACUAGGCCACUACAUUUAUAGAAAUGAUCAAGUGAGCAAGGAAGAGACAGCUCGAUGGCUCUAUGAACCUGUCUGAGGGGUCACUGCUUCAGAAGAGGAAAGCCCUGGGACCCGGCUCCUUGUGGUCCUGACCUGUGUCCCAUGCAGCCCCACUCAUUGUCCUACGGCCAGAGCCCUGCUAUGUCUCACCUGACAGUAACCUAUCUUCUUGUCUCUUUUCUUCUCAGCCCCGAGGAUCUUGCUUUCCAGCCCUUUGCUAAGGGUCUCCUGUGGAAAGGAUCCAGGGCAAUGUCUUCUAAAUAAAAAAGUGUUUAAACUCCGGUUCCUGUUAUUGCUUCUCCUAUUUCCUCUCCUUAAAAUUGUCUGAAACCAGAUCCCCUGUCGUCACUAUUUUCUCUUUUUAUUCCCUCAGUAGUCUAACUAGGUGCUGACACUUAAUUGAAGUUCACUCUGUUUCAUGUGCUGCCUCGGGAACAUCUAGUUUGGAGGAAUGGAUCACCUCUGAGCCUAUGCACAAAAAUUUAGGAAAAGUGAUGUGCCUGGUGUGUGCUGGAUCUUGAAAUAAAUACAAAAAAAAUGGACGAGAGAGCAGAAUUACAUUUUGGCAUUUCAAAAGUGCAGUUCCUUAGAGUAUUUUUUACAGACCUUAAUAGAAACAAAGUGGUUGAUGUACCUAAAAUGUAAAAUGUAUUUCUUUACACUUCAAAAUCCAUCAGACAUGGGACCCAACUGAGCUGUCUUCAAGAAGCACUCAUAUUUUUAUUCUGCUCUAUAUUUAAGAUGACAACUCACUUGGUACAUGCAUAUAUAGACUAAAAUUCUCUGGUUUUGCCUGUUCAUUUUAAUGAUCUGCAAGAAGAAAGCAAAGAGUCAUUCUUCCCAUUACAAGGAAGGACACCUACUGAAAACUCUCUUGGGAAAAUUGUUGUAAAGUUCCUUUGAUUUUGAAACACUUUCCUAUUUGCAUUGAUCUUGACCUUCAGUAUACUUACUUUGUAAGAAAAUGGAAGACAAUCUUAGCUUCUUUAAGUAUAAAGGAAAGAGAAUUGGCUAUACGUGCUAGAAGUAGUGUGGCUGUUGCUGGUUUUGAACAUGACAUCCUACGCAGUGGAGCAGCAGGAAGGGAAGUUGAUGUAGUACAUGUCAACAUACACAUAGAGGAGCACAAAAUGACAAUUCCUUUUAAUUUCAGAGAAACAUGAAGAGCAAAAAGAUUGUUGUCCUGAGGCUUGCCUUUCUCUAGCUUUACAUUUGUAUGAUUCUUCUCCUUUUUAUUUAUUUAUUUAUUUAUUUUUAAUAGAAAAAAGACUGAGAAAUAUAUUUUGGAGGAGCAUAUGUGUGUGUCUGCCGGUAGAUUACACAGCAGUGCUAUUUUAUUUAUUGUUUUUAGUCUCCACUCUCAUAUAUGUUGCUUCCAACUUGCUUAAAAAUUCUCACAGUCAGAUUUCAGAGUCCAGAUACCUUUUGAAAACUAACCAGACAAAAGAUGAAGCAGGUCAGACCUGGUUCCUCCCUCCAAAACAUUGUGAUGGCCUGCAAUACCAUGCUGGGCUUGGAGCUGAAGCUGGAAAACAAAACAUUUUCAGCCUGGUAAAAGGAUGCCAUGUUCAAGGACUGCUUUGGAGAAAUGCUCCUGUUUCAUAUCUGCAUCAUGGAAGGGACCUCAGCUGAUCCAAAGAGAGGAAAAGUUAAAAAAAGAGGUGCUGUCACCUUCUCACUGCAAGGAGAUGCUGUUGGAGGUACUCCCUACAUCAGGCUGGGGGGCUAGGUCAAAUGUGGGUGUUGGUCUGUCCAGGAGCCUACACCCUCCCUUCCUUCUUACCAAAAGAGAGCAAAAAGUGAUGAAAAGGGGCUUUGAUACAGCUUCAUCAGUCAGCACACUGUGGGGCAUGUGGCUGUCCCCAGCAGGUGGGGGUCCUCAUACCCUGAGAUGAUCUUGUUUUAGUCCCUUUAGUGCUGAGCUAAUGCCUUUUCACAGAAUCAUAGAAUGUCCUGAGUUGGAAGGGACCCACAAGGAUAAUUGAGUCCAGCUCCUGUCCCUGCACAGGACAACCCCACAGUUCACACCGUGUGUCUGAGGACGUUGUCCAGUCUCUUCUUGAACACUGUCAGGUUGUGGCCGUGACACCUCCCUGGGGAGCUUGUUCCAGUGUCCAGCACCCUCUGGGUGAAGAACCUUUUCCUAAUGUCCAACCUAAACUUCCCCUGGCACAUCUUUCUGCCAUUUCCUUGGGUUCUGUUACUGAUCAUCAGAGAGAAGAGCUCAGCCUUGCCCCUCCUGCUCCUGCUGAGGAACCUGCAGCCCCACGAGCUCUGCCCUCAGUCUCCUCUUCUCCAGCUGAACAAACCCAGUGACUUCAGCCACUCCUCAUAUGGCUUCCCCUCCAAACCCUUCACCAACUUUGUAACCACCUCCGGACACUCUCCAGUAGCUUUAUCUCCUUUUUAUCCCAUGCCCCCAGCCCUGCACACAGUGAACGCUCCAAGUGAGGCUGCACCAGUGCAGAGCAGAGCGGGACAAUCCCCUCCCUGCCCGGCUGGCAAUGCUGUGAUGGAUGCACCAGGACACAGAUCCCCCUUGGCUCCAGGGACACUGUUGGCUCAUGUUCAACUUGCCAUCAACAAGGACCCCAAGAUCCCUCUCUGCAGAUCUGCUCUCCAGCAUCUCGUCCCCCAGUCUGUCUGUACAGCCAGGGUUGCUGUGUCCCAGGUGCAAAAUCCGGCACUUGCCGUUGUUGAACCUCACGUAGUUGGUGAUUGUUCAGUUAUCCAAUUUGUCCAGAUCCCUCUGCAGGGCCUCUCUGCCCUUUAGAGUGUUGACAGCUCCUCUUAAUUUUUGUGUCAACGGAGAUGACACGUUUUUUUUGUCUUCCCAAUUUUUUGCCAGUUAAACUAAACCUCCCUGUUUCUGACCAACCCCAUCUGGUUGAAGAUGUACAUACUCAUGGCAGGUAGCCUGGACUAGAUGAGCUUUGAAGGCUCCUUCCAACCCAAACUAUUAAUAUUCUAUGAUUCUAUGACAAUUCUAUGAUUCUGUGAUUCUGCGAUUUUAUGAUUUGGAGACAGGCUGUACAAAAUGCUGCAUGUGAUUCAGUAAGCUGCAUACUUCUUUGGGUGUCGCAUAAACCAUGGACAUAUGUGGACAUCUGUGCAGGUUUUGACAAGGCACAGAGAGGAAUUUAGGGAACAACACUACUGGUAAAGCUCACAUCCUGAAUUAGACUUCUCUUCACACCUGUUUGUGGCUGGAGGGAACACAUAUGAAGUGGGGACUUACCACAGUGUGAAAAAUAAUCCCUUUUCUUUUGGAGGCUGGUGCAGAUCUCAGUGCAGAGGUGCACGGCAUCCUCUCUGGGAAAUGAUGUGUACCGAUAGGAGUCCAUCCCCUCCAAACACUGUCACCAGCUCUCCUGCCCCUGGAUGUCACAGCUGUGGGAUCCUGAUGAGAAGCAAUGUGAUCGUGAAGGGCUAUUGGUCUUCUGCAGCUGAAGAGGCCUGUUAAUACUAUAGUAGUACUGAAGUAAUCAUUCCUUCAGCUCUUUUUGGCCAAGGAUCUGUUAAUUUAAAAAAUACGCUUAAAACUAUGAAAGCCAGAAUUUUCCAGUGGCCUAGUUGAGGAUGCACUAGGUAGAGAAUAUUCUUCCAAAGAUUCUUAAUGGCUCAGAGUCCUUUGUUUUUUCAAAGCAAUGCUGGCACUUAUUUUUAUUUUUUCUUUACUUUGUUAAAUCACCUCUGUGAUUUCCCUAAAUAGUCCCUGAUGCUCUAAACAAAGUACUCCCAGCACCACUUCUCCUCCUCCUGGGUAAUUUAGCUUUCAGAGGGGGAUUAACAAGUCACCAGUCGAUGGAUGUCUCGUGUGCUUAGCUAAACAUUAGCAAAUACAAUUGCUGAGAGAAUACUGAAGUAAUCUAUACGAGAAAAUUCAACUCCUGGGAAAAUACUCCUACUCCCUCACAUAUUUUGCGCAAGUUUUCUGUGCUCUGAACUGGAUCAAUAUUUGUAUAACUAGAAAAUACACUUUGUGCAAGGAAAAAUGUAAUUUUAUAAAUGCAGAAUUGGAGGAAUCAAAAUUUACACUCUUCUCUGUAACUACCUUUGCCUAUUUAAUACAGUGCACUUGUAAACUGUACAGAUAAAUACAAAUAUAAACCAGCCAACCUUUUCUGGAAAUGUACUGAAUCAACUGCUAUAUAUAUAUUAAGGCUCCCUUAAGCUACUUCUCAUACCUGUAAGGCCUGUAAAGGCACUUUAAAACGUGUGGAAAUGUCAUUUAGUCCCAAAUUAGGGACCUCUGCCCUCCAUAAAGUGUAAAAUAGCCUUAGCAAAAAUGCCGGUUAAGUUCACUCUCUUUAACAGAAAGAAUCUGUAUGAGACCGCAAAAUUAUAUCUUUUGUAGUUCUGCAGUGAGCUGAAUUUUCAUUUUAGACUAUUCUCUUAGUAAUAGGAAUAAUCUUUACAUUUUUGUCAGUAUCUCAGUUGUAUAGCAUGGGCCCUGGACAGUUUUUUCUACCAUUAUUUAUUUGUGAAAGGCAAGCUUGACCCUCUAUUUCUCUCUAAAGGAUUAUUUUAUAGACUGCAAUGUAUGUUUUAGAGACUGAUAUAGAAACUGACAGCCUUCUGGAUGUGGGCACCUUUGUCUGAGUGACUUGUAAACUACUGCAACUAAAUGAGAGUUUACCAGCAUGUAAAGUCAUUAGAAAUGCACAGCUGAGUGACUGGGCAUAUUGGAAUGACAUAUUUGAUCUCAUUUGCUGUUUAUUUUAUAUGUUUAGGUUUAUCAGUCAAAUCCCACAAGCUGAGGACAAAAUAUAGAGAUAGUUGUUGAUAUCCACCUGCAGUCCUCUGUUCAAUACGGCAUAUAAUAUGGUAUAGAUAUCAUUUCACAUAAUAUAGAUUAUAAAGCCAUACCUCAGCUGUUACGACCUGUGUGGUUCUUUUAGCAAACUGCCUCAGAAGGCAAAGGAAGACAGCUAUAGUAUGAGGUACUUAUAUACGCACAUAUCUGUAGAUAAUCUGUAUGUAUCUGCCAUGAACAUAAAUGCUUCUCAUUUAAAAAGUGCUUAUCAGCCACAUGAAAUAAAUAUACCUCAUAUAAGCAAAGAAAAAUCUGCCUACAGAUUUCAUACAUACAUUUGUAAACAUAUGCAUCUAAAAAUCUAGAGAUAUUUUACAUAUGAUUAUAUUUACAGAUCAAUCAUAUGUAUUUACCAUGUGAAAUGUAUGUACUUUGCAUGGAAAAACAAUAAAAACAUACGCAAA
Columba livia (rock pigeon) is the source of this 9340-nucleotide long non-coding RNA. RefSeq lists it as uncharacterized. The transcript has 2 exons. Lineage: Eukaryota; Metazoa; Chordata; Aves; Columbiformes; Columbidae. The record is from RefSeq and is a predicted model, not a curated record.